This 64-nucleotide small nucleolar RNA is filed under the name Euglena gracilis. Its description in RNAcentral is "Eg-m119.1 box C/D methylation-guide". Lineage: Eukaryota; Euglenozoa; Euglenophyceae; Euglenales; Euglenaceae. The record is from RNAcentral.
CAAAUGAUGUGAUCAAUGUUGUGUUGUAACCUGACGUCUUUUUGAUGAACAUGCAUCCCUGAAU